This 449-nucleotide ribosomal RNA is filed under the name uncultured organism. Its description in RNAcentral is "partial 16S ribosomal RNA". It matches the Rfam family "Bacterial small subunit ribosomal RNA", at positions 333 to 798 of the family's 1533-position model. The record is from RNAcentral.
ACACUCCUGCGGGAGGCAGCAGUGGGGAAUAUUGGACAAUGGGCGCAAGCCUGAUCCAGCCAUGCCGCGUGAGUGAUGAAGGCCCUAGGGUUGUAAAGCUCUUUCACCGGUGAAGAUAAUGACGGUAACCGGAGAAGAAGCCCCGGCUAACUUCGUGCCAGCAGCCGCGGUAAUACGAAGGGGGCUAGCGUUGUUCGGAUUUACUGGGCGUAAAGCGCACGUAGGCGGACUAUUAAGUCAGGGGUGAAAUCCCGGGGCUCAACCCCGGAACUGCCUUUGAUACUGGUAGUCUUGAGUUCGAGAGAGGUGAGUGGAAUUCCGAGUGUAGAGGUGAAAUUCGUAGAUAUUCGGAGGAACACCAGUGGCGAAGGCGGCUCACUGGCUCGAUACUGACGCUGAGGUGCGAAAGCGUGGGGAGCAAACAGGAUUAGAAACCCGGGUAGUCCCAU